CUCUGCGCAUCCCCGAGUGUCUGCCUGUGGGGGCUGAGCCUCCGAAGCAGGGCUGGGGUGGGCUGCUACUCGGCCUGGGGCUAGCCACAGUUUUCAUUACUACUGCUGUGUGACACGGUUCAAGUCAGCAAGUGUGAUGCCUCCUGGACCUGGUUCUUGGCAGUUCCUGGACCCAGAACGCUAGAAGUAAUCCACCGGAAGUGGAAUCUUGCCGCGAACCACCCAGAACUGCUCAGAAAGCGGACCCUGCACUUGACCCGCCCGCCCUUCUCCAGUAAUGUCACCUUAUGACAUCGCCGUCCGCGGCGCGAGCACGCCGGUGAGCCUCUCGCAUGAAAGAAGACGACGUCUCCAGACCAAACACCACCUUUGUGACAGCGAACAGCACCCCUUCUGAUGCAAGUAUCUUUCUAGCUGCUAAUAACUAUCAACUGUGAUCACAGCCUUCCAAGCUGGAAUAACGUAUCUAUAUAUAUACCACCUAUACCAUACCAGCUAACCGAGCUUCCCACACAUGGACUGGCAAGAUGCAGGCGGCAGAUACCAGCUACGGCGGCGGCAGCAUUCCUACCUAAGCGUCCCCGCCCAGCAGGGUGGUCGGGGCCGG
Long non-coding RNA from Talpa occidentalis (Iberian mole), 607 nucleotides. RefSeq lists it as uncharacterized. The record is from RefSeq and is a predicted model, not a curated record. The transcript is spliced from 4 exons. NCBI's taxonomy places the organism in Eukaryota, Metazoa, Chordata, Mammalia, Eulipotyphla, Talpidae.